AUCAUUGAUGAACUCCUGGAUGAACUUGCAGAUGCUUGUUGGUUCUCUAAAUUAGACCUAAGAUCGGGAUAUCACCAGAUCAGGUUGGCACCAGGAGAAGAGCAUAAAACUGCUUUCCAAACUCAUAUUGGUCAUUUUGAAUUUUUAGUGCUGUCAUUUGGCCUUACUAGUGGACCUAACACCUUCAAUUUUGGUAUGAAUGAUACCUUGGCUCCCUGCAUCAGGAAGUUUGUAUUGGUCUUUUUUGAUGACAUACUUGUGUUUAGUGCUUCCUAUGAAUUACACCUGCAGCACUUGGCUGAGGUACUGAAGCUCUUACUCCAACACCAUUGGUAG
RNAcentral lists this ribosomal RNA (336 nucleotides) under Triticum aestivum (bread wheat). RNAcentral's name for it is "partial small subunit ribosomal RNA". The record is from RNAcentral. Lineage: Eukaryota; Viridiplantae; Streptophyta; Magnoliopsida; Poales; Poaceae.